Hevea brasiliensis (rubber tree) is the source of this 1185-nucleotide long non-coding RNA. RefSeq lists it as uncharacterized. The transcript is spliced from 2 exons. NCBI's taxonomy places the organism in Eukaryota, Viridiplantae, Streptophyta, Magnoliopsida, Malpighiales, Euphorbiaceae. The record is from RefSeq and is a predicted model, not a curated record.
UAAAAAAUAACUCGUCUCACUUUCUCCCUCUUCCCGAAAUCUAGUUGAGUGUUGCAAUGGAAUUUAUAUUUCCAUAUUUAAAUGCCAUCACAGCAGGACUUAUUGCCAUACUUGUGUUCGCCUACCGUAUACAAAGGAGGGCUACAGCCGCCAAGAAACAUCAAGCGCCCUAAGCCGCUGGUGCGUGGCCCAUAAUUGGUCAUCUCCCUUUGUUAACAGGAUCCUAAGUUCCCCACACAUCGUUGGGAGCUUUAGCUGACAAGUUCGGACCAAUCAUCACCAUUCAGAUUGGGAUACACCAAGCCUUGGUGGCGAGCUCUUGGGAAUUGGCUAAGGAAAUUUUCACUACCAACGGUAUAGCCGUGUCUGGCCGCCCUAAUUUCACUGCGAUAAAGUACCUGGGCUACAAGUAGGGACGGAGGGAGCAUGGGGCCGAGGGAAACUGGGCCCCCAUAAAAUUUUUAAAAAUUUUGAGAGUAAAUUGGUAAUUUACUAUUUAACUCUAAAAAUCUUUUGUAAACAGCAUCAGCACUCCUCCUUUCUCCGUUCUCCUCCCUGCUGCUGCUGACAAAAGAAUUCCCUAUUUACAAUUUCUCUCUUCACCUCCGCUCUACUCCUUUUUUCAAUUUUACUCCACAAUUUCUCAAAUCAUUUGCUUUUGUCUAGCUCUAUAUAUAUGGAGCGAUUUUUUAAAAGAAAAUCAAACACUGCAUAAUCAUCAUCAUCAAUCAAUCAACCUUUUCAACCAGCACCACCUAAGUAGGUGAUUGUUGAGGAAGUUGAGGUCAAUAUAGAAAACAUUUCUUCUGAUCCAGGACUGCGACCUAACAUAAUGAGAUAUCCACCUGAUAUUAGGAAUCAAGUACAUAUAGCUUACUUACUUAAAGGUCCAUGUCAACCACGCCAUUAUAAAUUUCCUCAAAAGGUAGAUGGACCUCGAAAACAGAGAUUUAUUGCAUCUUGAUUUAAUGAAUUCAUUAGUUGGUUAGAAUAUAGUAUUGAAAAAGAUGCUGCAUAUUGUUUAUAUUGUUAUCUUUUUGCAACUGGGCAUAGUGAAAGAGGUCAUAAUACUUUUGUAUUUGAAGGUUUUACUAAUUGGCGAAAGAAAGAAAGAUUGAGAGAACAUGUAGGAGACUAUAAUAGUGAUCAUAAUAAAUGUCGGUUAGCUUGUGAAGAUUUGAUGAA